Molecule: ribosomal RNA, 639 nt
Filed under: uncultured Actinomycetes bacterium
Lineage: Bacteria; Bacillati; Actinomycetota; Actinomycetes
Description: bacterial SSU rRNA
Rfam family: Bacterial small subunit ribosomal RNA
Source: RNAcentral
CGCGGCCUAUCAGCUUGUUGGUGAGGUAACGGCUCACCAAGGCAUCGACGGGUAGCUGGUCUGAGAGGACGAUCAGCCACACUGGGACUGAGACACGGCCCAGACUCCUACGGGAGGCAGCAGUAGGGAAUCUUGCGCAGUGGGCGAAAGCCUGACGCAGCAACGCCGCGUGGGGGAUGAAUGCCUUCGGGUUGUAAACCCCUUUCAGCAGGGACGAAAAUGACGGUACCUGCAGAAGAAGCUCCGGCCAACUACGUGCCAGCAGCCGCGGUAAUACGUAGGGAGCGAGCGUUGUCCGGAAUUAUUGGGCGUAAAGAGCUCGUAGGCGGUUCAGUAAGUCGGGUGUGAAAACUCAAGGCUCAACCUUGAGACGCCACUCGAUACUGCUGUGACUUGAGUCCGGUAGAGGAGUGUGGAAUUCCUGGUGUAGCGGUGAAAUGCGCAGAUAUCAGGAGGAACACCAGCGGCGAAGGCGGCACUCUGGGCCGGUACUGACGCUGAGGAGCGAAAGCAUGGGGAGCAAACAGGAUUAGAUACCCUGGUAGUCCAUGCCGUAAACGUUGGGCACUAGGUAUGGGAUCAUAUCAACGGAUUCCGUGCCGUAGCUAACGCAUUAAGUGCCCCGCCUGGGGAGUACGG